This 461-nucleotide ribosomal RNA is filed under the name uncultured bacterium. RNAcentral describes it as "bacterial SSU rRNA". It matches the Rfam family "Bacterial small subunit ribosomal RNA", at positions 338 to 795 of the family's 1533-position model. The record is from RNAcentral.
CCUANGGGGGGCAGCAGUAAGGAAUAUUGGGCAAUGGACGCAAGUCUGACCCAGCCAUGCCGCGUGAAGGAUGAAUGUCCUAUGGAUUGUAAACUUCUUUUAUGCAGGAAAAACAUCCCGGUCGUGAACCGGGACUGAUGGUACUGUAUGAAUAAGCAUCGGCUAACUCCGUGCCAGCAGCCGCGGUAAUACGGAGGAUGCAAGCGUUAUCCGGAUUCAUUGGGUUUAAAGGGUGCGCAGGCGGAAUGAUAAGUCAGUGGUGAAAUCUCCCGGCUCAACCGGGAAACUGCCAUUGAUACUGUCAUUCUUGAGUACAGUUGAAGUGGGCGGAAUGUGUCAUGUAGCGGUGAAAUGCUUAGAUAUGACACAGAACACCGAUAGCGAAGGCAGCUCACUAAGCUGUAACUGACGCUCAUGCACGAAAGCGUGGGGAUCAAACAGGAUUAGAUACCCCANUANUC